Molecule: non-coding RNA, 71 nt
Organism: Podarcis lilfordi (Lilford's wall lizard)
Lineage: Eukaryota; Metazoa; Chordata; Lepidosauria; Squamata; Lacertidae
Source: the annotation of a GenBank genome assembly
GACCAUAGCUCAGUGGAAAAGCCUCUGCUUUGCAUGCAGAAGGUUCUAGGUUCAAUUCCCAGUAAGAAGCA